GACGAACGCUGGCGGCGUGCCUAAUACAUGCAAGUCGAACGCAUUUUCUUUCACCGUAGCUUGCUACACCGAAAGAAAAUGAGUGGCGAACGGGUGAGUAACACGUGGGUAACCUGCCCAUCAGCGGGGGAUAACACUUGGAAACAGGUGCUAAUACCGCAUAAUUCCAUUUACCGCAUGGUAGAUGGGUGAAAGGCGCUUUUGCGUCACUGAUGUAUGGACCCGCGGUGCAUUAGCUAGUUGGUGGGGUAACGGCCUACCAAGGCUGCGAUGCAUAGCCGACCUGAGAGGGUGAUCGGCCACACUGGGACUGAGACACGGCCCAGACUCCUACGGGAGGCAGCAGUAGGGAAUCUUCGGCAAUGGACGCAAGUCUGACCGAGCAACGCCGCGUGAGUGAAGAAGGUUUUCGGAUCGUAAAACUCUGUUGUUAGAGAAGAACAAGGAUGAGAGUGGAAAGUUCAUCCCUUGACGGUAUCUAACCAGAAAGCCACGGCUAACUACGUG
RNAcentral lists this ribosomal RNA (507 nucleotides) under uncultured bacterium. RNAcentral's name for it is "partial 16S ribosomal RNA". It matches the Rfam family "Bacterial small subunit ribosomal RNA", at positions 28 to 507 of the family's 1533-position model. The record is from RNAcentral.